UACGGAGGGUGCAAGCGUUAUCCGGAUUCACUGGGUUUAAAGGGUGCGUAGGUGGGUUGGUAAGUCAGUGGUGAAAUCUCCAGGCUUAACUUGGAAACUGCCAUUGAUACUAUCAAUCUUGAAUACCGUGGAGGUCAGCGGAAUAUGUCAUGUAGCGGUGAAAUGCUUAGAUAUGACAUAGAACACCAAUUGCGAAGGCAGCUCGCUAAACCAUAACUGACGCUGAUGCACGAAAGCGUGGGGAGCAAACAGG
Molecule: ribosomal RNA, 253 nt
Filed under: uncultured bacterium
Lineage: Bacteria
Description: partial 16S ribosomal RNA
Rfam family: Bacterial small subunit ribosomal RNA
Source: RNAcentral